RNAcentral lists this non-coding RNA (751 nucleotides) under Pan troglodytes (chimpanzee). Lineage: Eukaryota; Metazoa; Chordata; Mammalia; Primates; Hominidae. The record is from RNAcentral.
GACCUGGGCAACCCCAUCCUGGAGGUGCCGGGGUCGGAGCUCCCAGAGGGCUGGGUGCGAGGCCUAGGCGGGGUCAGGUUCGGGUUCCUAGGCCAUAGCGGAGCUGCAGCCCAGGCGGCCGGAGCGGAACCCAGCCCCGCUCCGAGUGCCACGUCUCCAGGAACCCCCUCCUUACUCUUGGACAACACUCCGCCCCCGCCCGGGCCUCCGUCCCCCAAACCGCCCUCAUUUGUGCAGCGCCAGAUCCUUCGGACACAUCCCUAGGUGUCUCCAUCCUCGUUCGGUCCAUCCAACUCCCAGACCUCACGUCAACCGGCUGCAUCCCACUUUCCAGCCUGCGCCCCAGAUCUGCAGCCUUCGCCCCUAGAUACACCCGCCUGGUGAUGAGGCGCUCCUCGCGUUCCUUCCGGGCUCCCGGUGUCGUCCGUGAGCCUCCCUUCCGCCCUGGCCUCCGGUCUCUGCCUUGCUCGUGCUUCUACCACCACCCUUCCCCUCCCAACCCGGUGGAUCCUCUCGUCUCCCCCAGUCUCCAGUGCACCGGCUUUCCCUCGUCCUCUGCGCAGUCCAUCUCAGCUCAUCUCUCCAAUUCAAUGCCAUCAUCUCUCCUCACCAUCUCUCGGUGCCCUGGAAUGUUUGCUGUCAUAUGUCCCCUGUGAAACCCACAAACGCUUGCGAUUUGGCCUUCUUGUUUUAUUUUGUGUAGUCCUACAACGUCUUGUUACUACCCCCUAUUACAACACUUAUAACUCAG